RNAcentral lists this long non-coding RNA (617 nucleotides) under Oryctolagus cuniculus (rabbit). RNAcentral's name for it is "lncRNA (ENSOCUG00000037807.1)". Lineage: Eukaryota; Metazoa; Chordata; Mammalia; Lagomorpha; Leporidae. The record is from RNAcentral.
CAAUAAGGUACCUCUUAAUAAUUUACUAUUAAAUGGCAUUAACUGGUUGACAGACAAGUUAAAUAUUACAAUACUUGUCUUUUCUCAAUAAAGCACAUUCAAAUAUACUAAAACAAAUCACAUAAACUCUCUGAUGUUUAAAAAAUUACUUUUAUCCCUUUAACAUUGUGUCUAUACUAUCUAUGUGCUUUGUGUUAUAAGGCAUCCUUGUGUUAUCACAAUAGUUUGUUCUCUCUGCUUCUUUCAGGUCAAACAUCUACGAGGUAGGAUGAGACACGGAUUAGUUUUCUUUACUCAGAAAAGUUCAAAACAUGUUUCAGACUUUCUUGGCUUGGUGAAAUACCAAAUGAGGUUUCCUUAAAAGGAGAAAACAGAUCAGAGGACCCCCAUUUCCUUGGGAAGGAACUCUGCCUCUACCAGAAAAGAAUGAAGGGAAGAACUCAACCUUCAAAGGAAAAAAAGACAACCAGCCUGUGAACCCCUCUCGCCCAAAACAAAGAAGUCAAAUAGAAAUGGAAGACAGAGAACAGGGAUCAUUGUCAUUACCUUGUUAUUUUCUUAAAAGUAGAUUGAGUGGUCAGCAAUUCUGAGAAAGCCAUUUAGUCUACAGGUCUGAA